RNAcentral lists this ribosomal RNA (417 nucleotides) under uncultured bacterium. RNAcentral's name for it is "bacterial SSU rRNA". It matches the Rfam family "Bacterial small subunit ribosomal RNA", at positions 355 to 789 of the family's 1533-position model. The record is from RNAcentral.
UGGGGAAUAUUGCACAAUGGGGGAAACCCUGAUGCAGCGACGCCGCGUGGAGGAAGAAGGUCUUCGGAUUGUAAACUCCUGUUGUUGUGGAAAAUAAGGAUGGUACACAACAAGGAAGUGACGGCUAACUACGUGCCAGCAGCCGCGGUAAAACGUAGGUCACGAGCGUUGUCCGGAAUUACUGGGUGUAAAGGGAGCGCAGGCGGGUAUGCAAGUUGGGAGUGAAAUGCAUAGGCUCAACCUAUGAACUGCUCUCAAAACUGUGUAUCUUGAGUAGUGCAGAGGUAGGCGGAAUUCCCGGUGUAGCGGUGGAAUGCGUAGAUAUCGGGAGGAACACCAGUGGCGAAGGCGGCCUACUGGGCACCAACUGACGCUGAGGCUCGAAAGCAUGGGUAGCGAACAGGAUUAGAUACCCGU